CAUAAAGGAGCCGAAUGAAACCAAAGUUUCACGUUCGGCCAAGCUAACGAUGCGGGUUCGAUUCCCGCUACCCGCU
RNAcentral lists this transfer RNA (76 nucleotides) under Quercus virginiana. RNAcentral's name for it is "tRNA-Gly". The record is from RNAcentral. Lineage: Eukaryota; Viridiplantae; Streptophyta; Magnoliopsida; Fagales; Fagaceae.